UCUUGUUAAAGUACUGUACAUUGCGUAGCAACAGUGUAAAAAGAGGUUGGUUUGCUGUAACAUUCAAUCCUUUAUUCCUGCAGGUGCGUUUCAGCCCCCUUUCAAUGAAUAACGCAACCCCUAGUGCAUUUGCACCGAGACCAGGUCCAUCAACUUCCACUCCUAUGAUACCUCAUGCCACAAAUAAAAAUGAUGCUCCUGGAUUAGACAUGAAGUACUUGCAAAAGAGCAUUCCGCUCAAAGCACAGAAAGGCCACAAUCCCUGUAAUGCAGUGCCAACAAGAGUGCUGUUAUCGAAUCAGGUAAAAGCACAAACUUUAUCAGCCUAUUUUCCAGGGCAGCAGUCAAAACUCCCAGCAUCGUGAACAUGAAAUGGUGAAGUCAGAAGACUACAGUUCAAAAAAAAAAAAAAAACCCUGCUGAAAUGUACUUCCCAUGGAAUUAAGCCAACUUGUAGUUCUCAGAUGAUAUAUUAACAAAGUGAAAUACAGGUGCUCAUUCAAACUGCCAGAUUUCAAUCUUAUUUUUUUUUAUCACUCCUGGGAUUUGACUUGUAUGUGUAUUUUCUGUAUAAACAGUCUUCAAUGCUCAUACCAAAGAACUGUAUUUGUGUAAAUCUUUAAUUCUAGCACCUGUGGGAAUAUGUGGGUAUAAGUGUGUGUGUUGAACAAUUACUGCAAAGAUAAACCACUGAAAAAAUGCUUAUUUUUCAAUGUAUUAUCCUUUUUAAGAUAGUUGGGUCUAUUUUAAUGAUAGAAGUAGUGGAUAUUCUAACACAAGCGCUCCAAGAAAGUAUCCUCAAAGAUGUGCCCAUUUACGUUUAAUUAACACAAUCUGAAAUACUGCAUUACUAAUGCAGGAGAUGGACUAAAGUCAUCACAGUCUGCUAUGCCAUUUUAAAAAGUAUGUAUUUUGAGGUAGUAAGUAGAUAGCUACAGUAAAUGUAAAAAAUAAAUAUUAUAAUAACCUUGAACUUAAGAAGAAUAAAC
Molecule: long non-coding RNA, 989 nt
Organism: Polyodon spathula (Mississippi paddlefish)
Lineage: Eukaryota; Metazoa; Chordata; Actinopteri; Acipenseriformes; Polyodontidae
Exons: 3
Source: RefSeq, a predicted model, not a curated record